GACGAACGCUGGCGGCGUGCCUAAUACAUGCAGGUUGAGCGCUGAAGGUUGGUACUUGUACCAACUGGAUGAGCAGCGAACGGGUGAGUAACGCGUGGGGAAUCUGCCUUUGAGCGGGGGACAACAUUUGGAAACGAAUGCUAAUACCGCAUAAAAACUUUAAACACAAGUUUUAAGUUUGAAAGAUGCAAUUGCAUCACUCAAAGAUGAUCCCGCGUUGUAUUAGCUAGUUGGUGAGGUAAAGGCUCACCAAGGCGAUGAUACAUAGCCGACCUGAGAGGGUGAUCGGCCACAUUGGGACUGAGACACGGCCCAAACUCCUACGGGAGGCAGCAGUAGGGAAUCUUCGGAAAUGGACGAAAGUCUGACCGAGCAACGCCGCGUGAGUGAAGAAGGUCUUCGGAUCGUAAAACUCUGUUGGUAGAGAAGAACGUUGGUGAGAGUGGAAAGCUCAUCAAGUGACGGUAACUACCCAGAAAGGGACGGCUAACUACGUG
Molecule: ribosomal RNA, 497 nt
Filed under: uncultured bacterium
Lineage: Bacteria
Description: partial 16S ribosomal RNA
Rfam family: Bacterial small subunit ribosomal RNA
Source: RNAcentral